RNAcentral lists this ribosomal RNA (460 nucleotides) under uncultured bacterium. RNAcentral's name for it is "partial 16S ribosomal RNA". It matches the Rfam family "Bacterial small subunit ribosomal RNA", at positions 338 to 795 of the family's 1533-position model. The record is from RNAcentral.
CCUAUGGGUGGCAGCAGUGAGGAAUAUUGGUCAAUGGGCGGGAGCCUGAACCAGCCAAGUCGCGUGAGGGAAGACGGUCCUAUGGAUUGUAAACCUCUUUAGGCGGGGAGCAAUGCCGGGCACGCGUGCCCGGAGGGAGCGUACCCGCAGAAUCAGCAUCGGCGAACUCCGUGCCAGCAGCCGCGGUAAUACGGAGGAUGCGAGCGUUAUCCGGCGUUAUUGGGUUUAACGGGUGCGUAGGCGGAUUGUUAUGUCAGCGUGAAAAUGUCCGGGCUCAACCCGGGCCGGCCGUUGAAACUGGGGAUCUUGAGUGGGGGAGAAGUAUGCGGAAUGCGUGGUGUAGCGGUGAAAUGCAUAGAUAUCACGCAGAACUCCGGUUGCGAAGGCAGCAUACCGGCGCCCGACUGACGCUGAGGCACGAAAGCGUGGGGAUCGAACAGGAUUAGAUACCCGGGUAGUC